Molecule: ribosomal RNA, 490 nt
Filed under: uncultured bacterium
Lineage: Bacteria
Description: bacterial SSU rRNA
Rfam family: Bacterial small subunit ribosomal RNA
Source: RNAcentral
UAGCGGCAGGCCUAAUACAUGCAAGUCGAACGAGAUUAAGGAGCUUGCUUCUUAUGAAAGUGGCGCACGGGUGCGUAACGCGUAUGCAACCUACCUUAAUCAGGGGGAUAGCCCGAAGAAAUUCGGAUUAACACCGCAUAAAAACACAGGAUAGCAUUAUCCAAUGUUCAAAUAUUUAUAGGAUUAAGAUGGGCAUGCGUGUCAUUAGCUAGUUGGCGGGGUAACGGCCCACCAAGGCGACGAUGACUAGGGGAUCUGAGAGGAUGACCCCCCACACUGGUACUGAGACACGGACCAGACUCCUACGGGAGGCAGCAGUAAGGAAUAUUGGUCAAUGGAGGGAACUCUGAACCAGCCAUGCCGCGUGCAGGAAGACGGCCCUCUGGGUUGUAAACUGCUUUUAUUCGGGAAUAAACCUACUUACGUGUAAGUAGCUGAAUGUACCGAAGGAAUAAGGAUCGGCUAACUCCGUGCCAGCAGCCGCGGUAAU